Non-coding RNA from Podarcis lilfordi (Lilford's wall lizard), 189 nucleotides. Lineage: Eukaryota; Metazoa; Chordata; Lepidosauria; Squamata; Lacertidae. The record is from the annotation of a GenBank genome assembly.
UUCCUGAUGUUUAGUCAGAAUCCCCUUUCUUGUAACUUGAAGCCAUUGUUUGAGUCCUACCCUCCGGAGCAGGAGAAAACAAGCUUGCUCUAUUUUCCAUGUGUCAGCCCUUUAGAUAUUUGAAGAUGGUUAUCAUAUCUCCUCUAAGUCUCCUCUUCUUCAGGCUAAACAUACCCAGCUCCUUCAACC